GAUGAACGCUAGCUAUAGGCUUAACACAUGCAAGUCGAGGGGAAACGGCAUUAUGUGCUUGCACAUUUUGGACGUCGACCGGCGCACGGGUGAGUAUCGCGUAUCUAACCUGCCCUUUACUUGGGGAUACCCCGUUGAAAGACGGCCUAAUACCCGAUGUAAUUCAUUGAUGGCAUCAGAUAUGAAUAAAAGAUUUAUCGGUAAAUGAUGGGGAUGCGUCUGAUUAGCUUGUUGGUGAGGUAACGGCUCACCAAGGCGACGAUCAGUAGGGGUUCUGAGAGGAAGGUCCCCCACAUUGGAACUGAGACACGGUCCAAACUCCUACGGGAGGCAGCAGUGAGGAAUAUUGGUCAAUGGGCGCAAGCCUGAACCAGCCAAGUAGCGUGCAGGAAGACGGCCCUAUGGGUUGUAAACUGCUUUUAUACGAGAAUAAUUUGAUGCACGUGUGCGUUAUUGCAUGUAUCGUAUGAAUAAGGACCGGCUAAUUCCGUG
RNAcentral lists this ribosomal RNA (492 nucleotides) under uncultured bacterium. RNAcentral describes it as "partial 16S ribosomal RNA". It matches the Rfam family "Bacterial small subunit ribosomal RNA", at positions 28 to 507 of the family's 1533-position model. The record is from RNAcentral.